Molecule: ribosomal RNA, 600 nt
Filed under: uncultured bacterium
Lineage: Bacteria
Description: bacterial SSU rRNA
Rfam family: Bacterial small subunit ribosomal RNA (bases 1-440)
Source: RNAcentral
GGGAAAUUGCCCAGUCGAGGGGGAUAACAGUUGGAAACGACUGCUAAUACCGCAUACGCCCUACGGGGGAAAGCAGGGGACCUUCGGGCCUUGCGCGAUUGGAUAUGCCCAGGUGGGAUUAGCUAGUUGGUGAGGCAAUGGCUCACCAAGGCGACGAUCCCCUAGCUGGUCUGAGAGGAUGAUCAGCACACUGGAACUUGAGACACGGUCCAGACUCCUACGGGAGGCAGCAGUGGGGAAUAUUGCACAAUGGGGGAAACCCCUGAUGCAGCAUGCCGCGUGUGUGAAGAAGGCCUUCGGGUUGUAAAGCACUUUCAGCGACGGCNGGACAGGUCAGUAGCUAAUAUCUGCUGACUGUGACGUUACUCGCAAGANAGAAGCACCGGCUAACUUCCGUGCCCAGCAGCCGCGGUAAUACGGGACGGGUGCACAGCGUUAACUCCGCGAACUUACCUGNGCGUUCACACANGCGCCACGGCAUGGCGGCUCUGGACUCACACGUUCACNAUUGUUCAAACAGGCCCCCAGGGGGCCUCUCACAAACCUUUUGGGGGACANAUCUUGGCCCCUUUCUUCAAAAANCAGUCUGUGGCUCCCUGA